CGCGGGGUGGAGCAGCCCGGUAGCUCGUCAGGCUCAUAACCUGAAGGCCGCAGGUUCGAAUCCUGCCCCCGCAA
Pedosphaera parvula Ellin514 is the source of this 74-nucleotide transfer RNA. It matches the Rfam family "tRNA". From Rfam's summary of the family: Transfer RNA (tRNA) molecules are approximately 80 nucleotides in length. The record is from Rfam. NCBI's taxonomy places the organism in Bacteria, Pseudomonadati, Verrucomicrobiota, Pedosphaerae, Pedosphaerales, Pedosphaeraceae.